This 468-nucleotide ribosomal RNA is filed under the name uncultured bacterium. RNAcentral describes it as "partial 16S ribosomal RNA". It matches the Rfam family "Bacterial small subunit ribosomal RNA", at positions 28 to 507 of the family's 1533-position model. The record is from RNAcentral.
GACGAACGCUGGCGGCGUGCUUAACACAUGCAAGUCGAACGGAAAGGCGCUGCUUUUGUUGGGUGCUCGAUUGGCGAACGGGUGAGUAACACGUGAGUAACCUGCCCUUGACUGUGGGAUAACACCAGGAAACUGGGGCUCAUACCGGAUAGGAGCUCCUGCUCCAUGGUGGUGGUUGGAAAGUUUCGGCGGUUGGGGAUGGACUCGCGGCUUAUGAGCUUGUUUGUGGGGUAGUGGCUUACCAAGGCUAUGACGGGUAGCCGGCCUGAGAGGGUGACCGGGCACAUGGGGACUGAGAUACGGACCAGUAUCCUACGGGAGGCAGCAGUGGGGAGUAUUACGCAGUGGGGCGGAGCCUGUUGCAGAGACGCCGCGUGCGGGAAGACGUCCUUCGGGGGAUAAACAGCUUUGGAAUGAAACGAGGAGUGAGUGACGGUAAUGGGUAAAAAAGCAACGGCUAACUACGUG